AGGGCACUGAGGUGUGACCUGUGGAAAAGGGGUGGGACUUCCAAGCCUCUUUCUGUACUAGCGGUCAACACUGACAGCCCACAGUUGAUGAGUUUUGUUUGGCUGCAGUAUUUUAAACAACUUUGAAUCAAUUGCCAAUGUUUAGAAAUUUAUAGAUGUCACCUAAAAAUUUGGAUUUCUAGUUUCUUUUGUAUUUGGCAGACAUGGUAAUACUGAGUGUCUUGUCCUGAGUCUGCAUGACAACAGUUCGCUGGAGCUGAGCAGUGGGUUUCCCCUUUAGAGUGAACAGUAUUCUUCAGUUUGCUAUAUUUGAUAAUAAUAAUAGCGGUAGCAAACAUAUUGUGCUGUGUGAUAGGCACUUAAGACUUAAUCCUCAGAAUAACUCUGUGGGGUAGGUAGUCUUGUUUUCUCCAUUUUACAGAUGAAGGAAACUGAGGCACAGAGAGAUGAACUUGUCCAUGGUCUACUGCCAGGAAGUGGUAAAUCUGAUUUUCAGACUGGACAGUCUGGUCCCAUGUACAUACUCUUAGCCUCUAGGUGGUACUGCCUCCAGUACCUCAGUUUCUGAGUCUCUUCACCUCAGCCUUGGCCCAGGUACUUGGGUUUCUCUCUGUUUUCCCAUUAGAGAAAUAAGGUUUUCCAAUGAAGAGUAGAUUCUGGGGUUUGCCUUUAUGUCAAAGGGCCGUGACCAGAGCAUGGCCCCGACCUGCCCGUGAUGCCACAUCUGGUCAGUAGAGGGCGCUGGCUCUAUAGUGGCUCUGGGUCCCGGCAAGUACCAAAAGGUUACUGGGAUGUGCAAGAGAGAAAAGUCUGUUAAUGCUGGAGUUUGAGAGGCUCCUGGUCUGAGUUUGGCAUUCUGGUGUCCAGCAUUUGGGACAGAAUUACUUGUUCUUCUGUCAUAGGAAAAAGUCUCACGGCUGGAAACAGAGUUAGAUGAGGAAAAGAACACCGUGGAGCUGCUAACAGAUCGGGUGAAUCGUGGCCGGGACCAGGUGGAUCAGCUGAGGACAGAGCUCAUGCAGGAGAGGUCUGCUCGGCAGGACCUGGAGUGUGACAAAAUCUCCUUGGAGAGACAGAACAAGGACCUGAAGACCCGGUUGGCCAGCUCAGAAGGCUUCCAGAAGCCCAGUGCCAGCCUCUCUCAGCUUGAGUCUCAGAAUCAGUUGUUGCAGGAGCGGCUACAGGCUGAAGAGAGAGAGAAGACAGUUCUGCAGUCUACCAAUCGAAAACUGGAGCGGAAAGUUAAAGAACUAUCCAUCCAGAUUGAAGACGAGCGGCAGCAUGUCAAUGACCAGAAAGACCAGCUAAGCCUGAGGGUGAAGGCUUUGAAGCGUCAGGUGGAUGAAGCAGAAGAGGAAAUUGAGCGACUGGACGGCCUGAGGAAGAAGGCCCAGCGUGAGGUGGAGGAGCAGCAUGAGGUCAAUGAACAGCUCCAGGCCCGGAUCAAGUCUCUGGAGAAGGACUUCUGGCGCAAAGCUUCCCGCUCAGCUGCUGAGUCAGCUCUCAAAAACGAAGGGCUGAGCUCAGAUGAGGAAUUCGACAGUGUCUACGAUCCCUCAUCCAUUGCGUCACUGCUUACGGAGAGCAACCUACAGACCAGCUCCUGUUAGCUCGUGGUCCUCAAGGACUCAGAAAGCAGGCUCAAGGCCUAUCCCAGCAAGUGCUGCUCUGCUCUGCCCACCCUGGAUUCUGCAUUCCUAUGGGUGACCCAAUUAUUCAGACCUAAGACAGGGAGGGGUCAGAGUGAUGGUGAUAAAAAAAAAAACAAACACAUCAGCAAUAAGCUGAUAGAUGGACUUUCCACUGUAGGGGUGGACAUUUCAAGCCAACUGAGCCCUUUCCUCAAGUGCCGACACCUCCUUCAUCUCUCUCAUAGUGGAAAUAUGGUCAGCAUUAGGCUGAUGGGGACUGAGAAGGAUAGGAAGGGAUAGAAAUUGCCAUGUGUAUAAAGCUUUAUUCUUUAGCCCUUAACCCUAAGGCUCAGGGAAAUACCCUAUGUUAUUGUGCUCCCUGGAUUCCUGCAACUCAUUUUCCUUCCACUCUGGAGCAGGGUGAGGGGAAUGUUAUGGGUAACAGACAUGCAGGCAUGGCUCUACCCAUUUCUUUGCACAAGUAUGGGGCCCAUGUGGUAGUCCCCAUACCCCUCCAGUUCUUAUAUUUUUGUCUUCUUCCUUUCCCCUCUUCACCAUUCCUACCUUACAUUUUUCCUGUCAGUGCCUUAGCCAAGGUAAGGAGAUAAGGAUGCUCUUCUUGCUUUUUAUAUCUGCACAUUCAUACCUCUCCAAAGACGAGCUUUUCCCCAGCCAGGGCCCUCAGCCUUCCCUGCUGCCCCAGUGAUUGAUUGAGAGAGCUGUUGGGGUUUCUCUGCCAAUGACCCCCUGGGAGAGGGACUUUGGUAGGUCAUGAUAAAGUGGCGGGGGUCUGAUCCUGCUCAGGGUUUCCAUCCUUCCUCCUCUCCCUCCUCUGUGACUGUGGAUAUGGUUAUAAGGUGGUUGCACCUGGGAGCCCUGACAACUGUCUGCACAAGUUCCAAAAGUAAAGUUCCAAAAGUAAAGGUGUCAGUCCCUGUGGCCUUCCUUGGAGCUUCUCUGACCACAUGUGCCCAACUUCAAUAAGAGAACCAAGGGACCCUCAUUUUCUGAGGUGCUUGGCUCUGAUUCAGGGCUUUGCAAGGGGUUAGAAGCUGACUGUAAAAAUGGGAAGAGGCAACGGAAGACAUUUAUUUCUCCUUUGGAUUUUGGGGAGAACCAAGCCCUGGUAGGGAAGAGGUAAGGGGGAUGAUUUACCUCCAUAUUUCCUAAGCAGGUUGUAUAGGGAGCCGGUGGCAGGAGGAAGGCUGUUUUCACGAAUGACUUGUAAUGUCGUGAUUAAAAAAAAUUCCUAUAUUCUUCUGCAAAUCAAACAUUCUUUCCCAAUCCAAUCCAGCCUUGGUUUUAUUUUAAAUUAAAUAUUAAAAUUACACAUUUAUAUUGAAA
RNAcentral lists this small RNA (2975 nucleotides) under Pongo abelii (Sumatran orangutan). Its description in RNAcentral is "retained intron". The record is from RNAcentral. Lineage: Eukaryota; Metazoa; Chordata; Mammalia; Primates; Hominidae.